This 233-nucleotide long non-coding RNA is filed under the name Actinidia chinensis (golden kiwifruit). RNAcentral describes it as "long non-coding RNA (ACHI_LNC009624)". Lineage: Eukaryota; Viridiplantae; Streptophyta; Magnoliopsida; Ericales; Actinidiaceae. The record is from RNAcentral.
CAAUCCUGACUUGAUUCUUUGCUAGUAAAACAUACCCACAUCAGAUUGUAAUCCCCCUUGCACAUGUAUAGCGGAUUGGUUCUCUCCCGGAUCGAAUUUGAGUAGUAAAACCAGCAUUUGUUCACCCUCAGUAGUGAACAUACUUUCUUGUUGUUGUAGAACUCUCCGGACUAAAGUAUUCAGCUCUUCUUUGAAUCUCUUAACUCAAGCUCUCGUCACCGGACCAAUUGGAG